AUGCACGCUGGCGGCGUGCCUAAUCCAUGCAAGUCGAGCGAACAGACGAGGGGCUUGCUCCUCUGACGUUAGCGGCGGACGGGUGAGUAACACGUGGAUAACCUACCUAUAAGACUGGGAUAACUUCGGGAAACCGGAGCUAAUACCGGAUAAUAUAUUGAACCGCAUGGUUCAAUAGUGAAAGACGGUUUUGCUGUCACUUAUAGAUGGAUCCGCGCCGCAUUAGCUAGUUGGUAAGGUAACGGCUUACCAAGGCAACGAUGCGUAGCCGACCUGAGAGGGUGAUCGGCCACACUGGAACUGAGACACGGUCCAGACUCCUACGGGAGGCAGCAGUAGGGAAUCUUCCGCAAUGGGCGAAAGCUUGACGGAGCAACGCCGCGUGAGUGAUGAAGGUCUUCGGAUCGUAAAACUCUGUUAUUAGGGAAGAACAAAUGUGUAAGUAACUAUGCACGUCUUGACGGUACCUAAUCAGAAAGCCACGGCUAACUACGUG
Molecule: ribosomal RNA, 496 nt
Filed under: uncultured bacterium
Lineage: Bacteria
Description: partial 16S ribosomal RNA
Rfam family: Bacterial small subunit ribosomal RNA
Source: RNAcentral